Molecule: ribosomal RNA, 118 nt
Organism: Oreochromis niloticus (Nile tilapia)
Lineage: Eukaryota; Metazoa; Chordata; Actinopteri; Cichliformes; Cichlidae
Source: Ensembl
GCUUACGGCCAUACCACCCUGAACGGCCCGAUCUCGUCUGAUCUCGGAAGCCAAGCAGGGUCGGGCCUGGUCAGUACUUGGACGGGAGACCGCCUGGGAAUACCAGGUGCUGUAAGCU